This 623-nucleotide ribosomal RNA is filed under the name uncultured bacterium. RNAcentral's name for it is "bacterial SSU rRNA". It matches the Rfam family "Bacterial small subunit ribosomal RNA", at positions 338 to 951 of the family's 1533-position model. The record is from RNAcentral.
CCUACGGGAGGCAGCAGUAGGGAAUCUUCCACAAUGGACGAAAGUCUGAUGGAGCAACGCCGCGUGAGUGAUGAAGGUUUUCGGAUCGUAAAACUCUGUUGUAAGGGAAGAACAAGUACGAGAGGGAAUGCUCGUACCUUGACGGUACCUUGCGAGAAAGCCACGGCUAACUACGUGCCAGCAGCCGCGGUAAUACGUAGGUGGCAAGCGUUGUCCGGAAUUAUUGGGCGUAAAGCGCGCGCAGGCGGCCUUUUAAGUCUGAUGUGAAAGCCCCCGGCUCAACCGGGGAGGGUCAUUGGAAACUGGAAGGCUUGAGUACAGAAGAGAAGAGUGGAAUUCCAUGUGUAGCGGUGAAAUGCGUAGAGAUGUGGAGGAACACCAGUGGCGAAGGCGACUCUUUGGUCUGUAACUGACGCUGAGGCGCGAAAGCGUGGGGAGCAAACAGGAUUAGAUACCCUGGUAGUCCACGCCGUAAACGAUGAGUGCUAGGUGUUGGGGGGUUUCCGCCCCUCAGUGCUGAAGCUAACGCAUUAAGCACUCCGCCUGGGGAGUACGGCCGCAAAGGCNGAACGUACAAAGAAGUAGUACGGCGUGAGAGAGCGACGACGACACGAGGGAGGAGG